CGGGAAUUCUAAACAUGACAUAAAAAAAAUUGAGCGAUUUUGAGUUUAUUAGUACAAUAAAAAAUUCGGGAAAAUUUUCCUGAUUUUUUUUUUUUUAUUGAUUUUUCUACUGUUAUUGGGGACUUUGUCCCCAUAUCAAAGUGUUUAAUAUUGAGGGUAUUGUGUCUGUUCCACUGUCUGUUUGCCCUCUUAAUUUACAUGUUUGCCCUGGGUCCCUUCACCCUGAGACUGGGUUCAUUUGACAAUAUAGUAUUACAAUAUAGUACAUGUAUGUUCUCCCUGGGUUUGUUUUCCCAAAUUUUAUUAAAAAUAUUAAUAUGGAUUGUAUCAAAGUUUUCAAACUUAUUCAAAUAUGAAGAAUAGAUGGUAUAAAUUCUUGAAAUUCAUGGUAAUAUUUUAAAUAGAAGCAAAUAAAGG
Molecule: long non-coding RNA, 417 nt
Filed under: Mytilus galloprovincialis (Mediterranean mussel)
Lineage: Eukaryota; Metazoa; Mollusca; Bivalvia; Mytilida; Mytilidae
Source: RNAcentral